Molecule: RNA transcript, 2447 nt
Organism: Chiroxiphia lanceolata (lance-tailed manakin)
Lineage: Eukaryota; Metazoa; Chordata; Aves; Passeriformes; Pipridae
Gene: TMEM123
Gene name: transmembrane protein 123
Exons: 7
Source: RefSeq, a predicted model, not a curated record
CGCCGUGGGCAGACGCGCUCGGCGAGCUCCGGCGGCCCCUCCGCGGCCAUGCGGCUCUUCGGCGGCGCGUCCUGCGCGCUGCUGCUACUCCUGCUCGCCCCCGGCUCCCGAAAUGAAGACAUGAACAGCACUGCACCUUUUACUACGAUUUCAGGCCAGAGGUUGCCAGACAAUAGCAGUUCUUCCAAUGUCACUUCUGUGUCAUCCACACAAUCUGCAGCAACAUCUGCAGGAGAGGAACUGAAUUUCCUAAUUGUAACAAGGUGUGUCCACCAGUACUACUCAUCUGACCAGUACCACUCAGCCCACUGUCACCAAUAUGUCUGUCAGCUUGACGACUCAGCCCACCAAAACCAGCCAGACAAUAAGAUCCACCACAGCUUCAUCAGUCACAUCAUCACAACUCUAUAUUACAGUGGUGACCACUUCCAAGAUUUCUUCCACUUCUGUAACAGCCACAUCAAAAUCUGAGGCUUCAUCCAGGUUCGAUGUGGGCAGUUUUGUUGGUGGCAUUGUGCUGACUCUUGGAGUCCUAGUUAUUCUCUACAUCGGAUGCAAAACCUAUCACUCUAGAAGAGGCAUUCAGUACAGAACCAUUGAUGAACAUGAUGCCAUCAUUUAAAGAGACUUCAGGGAAGACAGUGUUGGAAACCCACCCUGUCACAGCUGUUGUAACUUGCUUCUGAAAGAGUUUCUUUCAUAAAGAUGAUCACAGUCUCUAAACCUGUGGGUGUUACCCUUCAAAAUGUUGAGAAGUUUUUUUAAACAUCCUGAUUUUUUACAUUGGCUUUCGUAAGAGUAAGAGGAACUCAGCACUUUGUAGAGACAGUAUUUUCUUAUUCCAGUAUUUGUAGCCAGAUUUAACAAAAUCACAUACUGAGUCAUUUUAAGGUACACACACAGGUCUCUGAAAUAUCUAAUUACUAGCACAGGUGAUUACAUCAUUGCAAUUCUAAGUAAGUUCAGGUGGGUUUUUUUCUAAAAUUUUGUAUUAAAUUGUAUUUAUUUUGAAGUUUGAUGUGAACUUUAGUUUAGAAAUUUUGGAUUUUGAACAACUCAGUUAAUUUUUAAUAGAGUAUAAAGGGGUGUGUUUAGGUAACUGUAUAGAAGGUGUGAUGAGUACUUUAAGUGUCAGUCAUUAGCUCGCCAGUGCCUUGCAGAUACUUUCCUUAAUAGGCUGUACAAUGAGACAAGCUGCAGGAAGCAUGGACAGACUGGAGAUAUCCAUCCAUGACCGUUUUCUCUAAAAACUGCUUUUUUCUAGCAUGUCCUAAUGAAGCUUGUGCAAUUGAAGAUAAAAUAAGAAUGCAGAAAAGUAAUUGUGCCAUCAUAAAUUAAAAAAAAACCAAAAAUUGUUUCUCAAAAUUGGCUUUUAAGUUGAACGUAGCAAUCAUUUGGCUCUUGAUCUUUAUUAUUACAAAACUGUAUGCAGUGUUUUAGUAGCAUUUGAUAAUCACUGAAACUUACAUACAGAAGGAGAAAACUAUAAUAUAGCAUUUUAGAAAACUAAAAACUGCAUUUUUACAACUGCGUUCAGAACUUGGUACUGCUGGCACAUGUGUACAGAGAUCUGGUCAAAAGUCCAACUGAAGAUAAUGGGCCAUCUCUCAGAAGACCUUUAGAUUAAGGUCCAAAUGCACUGGGGGUCCUGUGCAGGAUGGCUGGUGCUGCUCCCACAUCACUUCUGCAGUCACACUGAGGUAAAUCCGCCGACUUCAGUAGGUGGGCUCCUGAUUUACACUGGUGUAAGGAAAACUAGAACAAGGACCAGGAAACACAGGCUUGCAUUUCCUUAUGUCACUGAGUAAUUGUUCAGUCUUGCUCAGACUCCACUUGUAGACCCCUUCCUGGUGAAAGGGUUGGUGUGGUGGGGUUUGACCGUCCUGGUUGCUGGCACCAGUCCCUCAUGCAGGGCACAGAGGGGUGGUGGUGACAGGUGAGGAAGAUCACAAUGGGAACUGCAUCUAAGUCUGUCAUGGGGCUGGGGAACAAUGCAUCAGGGGAAAUAUGAGUACAGCUCUGGAAUAGGUUAAUUUUUUUGUUAAGCAGUAGUUUAUUCUUAUAUGCAAUGUUAAAGUGACCAUAUGGAUAUUUUUUCCUUUUUUACUACUCCAUGUGAAAAACCAUGGCUAUGAGUCAUGUCACUAGCACCAGCUACACCCCUGAAAAAGGGGGUACAGGGCUGUUUCAUUUUUUUACCAAGACUGAGGUACAGGGGGAGAGAAAGAGUGAUUUGAAGUAACUUUUGUAGUUUUUAUUAAUUGUGGUGUUUGGUGGAAAAUUACUGGAUUUGACUUGAAGAGUUAGAGAAAAAAUUCUUUCACAGAACUGUAAUUCCUUACUUUGUAGAAAUUAAGACAAUUAAGUGCAACUCAAUUACUGGGAUUGUCUCACCUCUGUUAUACAGACGAAUAAAUAAAAUUAAAUCUUUGCAAUUACUACAUCAA